UCUAGUCCAUACCACCCUGAACAUGCCCGAUCGUGUCUGAUCUCGGAAGCUAAGCAGGGUCGGGCGUGGUUAGUACUUGAAUGGGAGAAAGGGUCUCCCUUAUAGCCCCAACUUUCCUGGAACUCACUGUGUAGAC
RNAcentral lists this ribosomal RNA (136 nucleotides) under Nannospalax galili (Upper Galilee mountains blind mole rat). Lineage: Eukaryota; Metazoa; Chordata; Mammalia; Rodentia; Spalacidae. The record is from RNAcentral.